This 443-nucleotide ribosomal RNA is filed under the name uncultured bacterium. Its description in RNAcentral is "partial 16S ribosomal RNA". It matches the Rfam family "Bacterial small subunit ribosomal RNA", at positions 338 to 795 of the family's 1533-position model. The record is from RNAcentral.
CCUACGGGUGGCAGCAGUGGGGAAUAUUGGGCAAUGGGCGCAAGCCUGACCCAGCAACGCCGCGUGAAGGAAGAAGGCUCUCGGGUUGUAAACUUCUUUUAUCAGGGGCGAAGCAAGUGACGGUACCUGAUGAAUAAGCCACGGCUAACUACGUGCCAGCAGCCUCGGUAAUACGUAGGUGGCAAGCGUUAUCCGGAUUUACUGGGUGUAACGGGCGUGUAGGCGGGAAAGUAAGUCAGAUGUGAAAACCAUGGGCUCAACCUGUGGCCUGCAUUUGAAACUGUUGUUCUUGAGUACUGGAGAGGCAGACGGAAUUCCUAGUGUAGCGGUGAAAUGCGUAGAUAUUAGGAGGAACACCAGUGGCGAAGGCGAGCUGCUGGACAGCAACUGACGCUGAGGCGCGAAAGCGUGGGGAGCAAACAGGAUUAGAUACCCGAGUAGUC